This 381-nucleotide ribosomal RNA is filed under the name Lensia subtiloides. Its description in RNAcentral is "partial 16S ribosomal RNA". It matches the Rfam family "Bacterial large subunit ribosomal RNA", at positions 1935 to 2481 of the family's 2925-position model. The record is from RNAcentral. Lineage: Eukaryota; Metazoa; Cnidaria; Hydrozoa; Siphonophorae; Diphyidae.
CUUAAUCCUAAAGGGCGUGAAAUAAGCAUAAUCGGAUACCGUUUAAUUGACGGGGAGUUGAAUGGAUUUACGAGUGACAAUCUGUCUUUUUCUAAGAAUAAAUGAAUUAGAAGUAUAAGUGAAGAUGCUUAUUAAAACAAAAAGACGAAAAGACCCCGUGAAGCUUAACUAUAAGUCAACUAGAGAAAAGAAAUUUCUUCUUAGUUGAAAGGGUAGUUUUGGUGGGGUGCCAGUACGUUAAAAAGAACAUGAAGUUAAUUUAGUAAGACUAAUAACUAGUGUAAUAAACAAAUUUACGCAGAGGAGAAAACCGAUAAAGUGACCCGACUAAGGUUUAAGAUUAAGUCGACAAAGAAUAAUAGCUACUCCGGGGAUAACAGG